RNAcentral lists this long non-coding RNA (25181 nucleotides) under Vitis vinifera (wine grape). RNAcentral's name for it is "long non-coding RNA (VVIN_LNC003739)". Lineage: Eukaryota; Viridiplantae; Streptophyta; Magnoliopsida; Vitales; Vitaceae. The record is from RNAcentral.
UUUGUGUGUAUUGGUAUGCAUUGUUGGUUUUUCCAGGGCAUUGUAGCUGAAUCCAUUGAAAGUUUUAGUUUAAAUGUACUGAAGAAUUCAAGAACAUUUUUGGGGUUGAAUGCAGUGAAGCUGAAUCAAUGCGAGUGGAUGAAUGGGAAAUUAUGUAGAAAAUGAGUUCUACAACAUUUGAGUAUGAAAAGUAUUGGUUUAGAAAUGUGUUGAGGCCCUUUAUUCAUCUCAUAUUUUCAGUGAUGUUCUUAGACGAGCCAUGAGUCUAACUAGAACUGAUUCCAUCUGUUGUUGCUCUGAAUGUUGAAAAUCAUGGUAUUGAAGAUGAACUGAUAAGUUUUAGUUUAGAAUAUCUUCAAUCCAAUCAAGUUGAAUUGCUGCAAGUCAAUAAUCUUUGUAAUUUGAGAAUUUGUUUUAAGGAUGAAGCUAUGAGAGUUGAAUCAAUUGAGUAUUACCUUAUAUAUAUGUGAAGGCCUGCUAUUCAUCUCGUCCUUGCGGUUUCGCUCUUUAAAUGAGCCAUGAAUCUAUUUAUUUAGCUACCGAGUUUAAGAGUCUGGACCCGAGUUCUUUCCACAUCCAGAGUUGAUGUUUCGGUUUUGUUCAACCUCUAAGAACAAAAGAGCUUCACCAGUCACAGUGAAUGGCUUUCUGGUUGGGGCUUCACACACAAUUUUGGUUCAGAAAACUGGAGGAUUGUUGCCUGGUAGGUCCUAUCAUGCUAUGUGGAAAGCAUGACAAACUUGCUGGUUCAUGGCUGAAAUUCUUUUAUAGGAUUUUGAAAAUUCAACGAGGGUCUCUUGUUAACUUUUGGUAUAUCAGUCAAAAGUUUCAUCCUGCAUUUGUGAGAUUGAGUUCAUAUGCAUACAUAGCAUGAAAUGGAUCAUGAAAUUUUGUCUCAUGAUAGAACUUCGAGGUGGGCAUAUUAGUUCAGAAAUGUGUUAGGGAACACAGCAAUUGCUGGAUCUUUGUUCAUUGAAGCCUUGAACCAGUGCCUUCCUUGGUUGAACUUUGAAUUGUAUAGACAUGCUCAAUGGAAAGAGGAUCUUGUUGCUCUACUCACUGAACCUGAGUUUCUAGGUCUUGGCUCCUGAUACUCAGUCAUGAUAUUCAGCUUGUAUACGAGCAGGCUUUCUGCCCUCGUUUUCUGUUGGUUCUGUAGAAACAAAACAUGUACUUGGAGAAGGCUUUUAGAGAGUUGAUUUCAUGUGUAUGUGCUAAAACCAUUUCUGUCUGAUGUAAGGGAAGUCCAGAAAGAUUUAUAGUCCUCAGAAUCUAGCCUCAGUAGUGGCAGAUUAGGUAAUUUUGAAUGAAUAUCAUAUUCUUCUAGAGAAGGUUCUUUGCAGGCUAAUUUCGAAAAAUAUAACAAAGGUACGAAGAAUAUGAUUAGUAUAUAAAGAACGGGAUUAAGGUAUAAAUAAUAUUGACUAAGGUACACAAACCUCAUCGUGGGCGCGGAUUGUAUAUUUGAUAUAAAGACCAAUUUUGAAAUUAACAAUUUUUAAUUUUUUUUUUCAUAAAUAUUAUCAAAGAUAUGUGAUAAGGCAAUAUAACAAUUUCCCUUUCAAAUAAAAUGUUACAUUAGGGAAUUAGUUGUCAUUUAUUUUAAUAUAAUAAUUAAAAUAAAUCUUUUCUUCUCUCCUUUCACUUUCUUUCUUUCUUCUUUUCUUUUUUUUUUUUCUUGAAAGUUUUUGACAUUUUUUUUAUAUUUUUGUUGAAUAAAAAUAGUUUUAUUUUAUUUUAUUGUUUUCCCUCUUUUUUGAAUACUUUUAAAAAUAAUAAAAAAAUGAAAAUUUAUUUUAAUAAUUUUUUUAAAAAUAAUAAUAAAUAAAUAUAAAAUGAGGGAAUGAAUUUGGAUAUUGUCAUAUUAAAUAAAAAUAAUUUAAUUUAUGGUUUUAGUAAAUUGUAUUUCAAUUUUAAUUAUUUCUAUCCCAAUAUUACCUCCUCAGACUUUUCCCUAUUAAAAUUAAUUUCUCUCCAACCCAAUAAUUUAAGAAACCCUAAUCUAUUUUGAUAUGAGAGGGAGAUAUGUAUCUGAAACUCUCUCUCUCCAGAACAAACCUCAACUCUGCUCUCUUCUUUCUGAAUUUCUUUCCUCCCAGAAUUCGACCGUUGGGCCUUCCAACGGCCACAGCUUCUGAAUUUCCCGCUACCCUUUUCAAAUUUCUCAAUUUCUAUUCUUCUCUGCCUCUCCCUCUAGACCACUCUGAUUACAUCCCUUAUUCUGGGUUUGAUUUCGAUUCCUUCUUCUCAUCGUUACUCGAUCAUUCAGUCCACAAGAGGCAUUUGAAUCAAAUCCAUGCACAGUUGGUGGUGUCUGGACUUGUGGAGAGUGGCUUCUUGGUGACUAAAUUUGUGAAUGCGAGCUGGAACAUUGGGGAAAUUGGCUAUGCGCGUAAGGUGUUCGAUGAAUUUCCUGAACCAAGUGUGUUUCUGUGGAAUGCCAUCAUCCGGGGCUAUUCUAGCCACAAUUUUUUUGGUGAUGCGAUUGAAAUGUAUUCGAGAAUGCAAGCUUCGGGGGUGAAUCCAGAUGGGUUUACUCUUCCUUGUGUGCUUAAGGCUUGCAGUGGCGUGCCGGUGCUUGAAGUGGGUAAAAGAGUGCAUGGUCAGAUAUUCAGACUCGGGUUUGAAUCCGAUGUGUUUGUGCAGAAUGGUCUUGUCGCGUUGUAUGCCAAGUGUGGUAGAGUUGAGCAAGCCAGGAUUGUGUUUGAGGGGUUGGAUGAUAGGAAUAUUGUUUCGUGGACUUCGAUGAUUUCAGGGUAUGGACAGAACGGCCUGCCAAUGGAAGCUUUGAGAAUUUUCGGGCAAAUGAGACAACGGAAUGUGAAACCAGAUUGGAUUGCUCUUGUGAGCGUUCUCAGGGCCUAUACUGAUGUAGAGGACUUGGAACAAGGCAAAUCUAUCCAUGGCUGUGUGGUUAAAAUGGGUCUUGAAUUUGAACCAGAUUUACUCAUUUCCCUUACAGCCAUGUAUGCUAAAUGCGGACAAGUGAUGGUUGCCAGGUCCUUUUUUGAUCAAAUGGAGAUACCGAAUGUGAUGAUGUGGAAUGCCAUGAUUUCUGGUUAUGCAAAGAAUGGUUAUACUAAUGAAGCAGUAGGACUCUUCCAGGAGAUGAUUUCCAAGAACAUCAGAACUGAUUCUAUCACUGUGCGUUCGGCUAUUUUAGCUUGUGCGCAGGUGGGAUCACUUGAUCUAGCGAAAUGGAUGGGAGACUAUAUCAAUAAAACGGAGUAUAGAAAUGAUGUUUUUGUCAAUACAGCACUUAUUGACAUGUUUGCAAAGUGCGGAAGUGUAGAUUUGGCUCGUGAGGUAUUUGAUCGAACACUGGAUAAAGAUGUUGUGGUUUGGAGUGCUAUGAUUGUAGGAUAUGGAUUGCAUGGGCGGGGCCAAGAUGCCAUUGAUCUUUUUUACGCAAUGAAGCAAGCUGGGGUUUGCCCCAAUGAUGUCACCUUUGUUGGGCUUCUAACAGCAUGCAAUCACUCAGGCCUUGUAGAAGAGGGAUGGGAGCUUUUUCACAGCAUGAAAUAUUACGGAAUUGAGGCCCGCCACCAGCAUUAUGCUUGUGUGGUUGAUCUUCUUGGCCGAUCAGGGCAUUUGAAUGAAGCUUAUGAUUUUAUCACGACCAUGCCAAUUGAACCAGGUGUAUCAGUAUGGGGAGCACUCUUGGGCGCAUGCAAGAUCUAUCGCCAUGUGACAUUAGGAGAAUAUGCUGCAGAACAGCUUUUCUCACUAGACCCUUUCAACACAGGCCAUUAUGUGCAGUUGUCGAACCUCUAUGCUUCAUCCCGCUUGUGGGAUAGUGUUGCCAAGGUUCGCAUACUGAUGAGGGAGAAAGGACUGAGCAAGGACCUUGGGUAUAGCUUGAUUGAGAUCAACGGAAAGCUUCAGGCAUUUCGGGUUGGAGACAAGUCACACCCAAGAUUUAAAGAGAUCUUUGAAGAGCUUGAAAGCCUGGAGAGGAGGUUGAAGGAGGCUGGCUUCAUCCCACACAUAGAGUCAGUUCUUCAUGACUUGAACCAAGAAGAGAAGGAAGAAACUCUCUGCAACCACAGUGAAAGGCUAGCAAUCGCCUACGGGCUUAUCAGUACUGCACCUGGAACUACACUCAGGAUAACAAAGAAUCUCCGGGCAUGCAUAAACUGUCAUUCAGCAACCAAACUGAUAUCAAAGCUUGUGAAUAGAGAGAUAGUUGUUAGGGAUGCAAAUCGGUUUCACCAUUUCAAGAAUGGAGUUUGUUCUUGUAGAGAUUACUGGUGAAAAAAAAAUGUGGAUAGCUCUUCAAAUUCCAACUCUCUUAUUUUAAGUAAGAAUUUUGGCAUGAAAUCAAUAUUUUCUUGAGGAGGCAUAUUCAGAAAAUUACAGGCGAGAUGAGUGACCAUUCAUAAUGUUACAAGAUUAUAUUUUGUCUUCCAUAAUUUGAUUAACAAUACUUGCUAGUUAUCAUUUUUUGAUGAACAAGAAGGAAUUAAAUAAGAAAAGUGAUUUGUGUUUGUAAUGUCUCUUUAAUUCGUUUUUUCUUUCUUGUAUUCUAUGUGUUUUAAGGUAUUUAUUCUUUUCUUUCAAUAGAUUUUCCUGCUUUGUGCUUUCCUUUGGUAAUAGCGUUUCUCUUUUUUUCUUUCCUUUUUUCUUCUUUUUUAAUUUGAAAUUAAAAUCAUAAUUUUAAUAACAUUGGAAUAACUUUUUAAACGGGUUUAAGUAAAAAAAAAUUAUACAAACUUUUUUUAUGUUAUAAACUCUUUUAACAAAUUAAUCAAAUAGUUAUAUAAGUUACUAUUAAAUUUAGAAAAAAGUUUUGGCCAUGAAAUUAUUUUUGAAAAUAGGUUUUUUUUUUCAUUAAAAGAAAAAAUAAUUUUCCACCUACGAAAUAACCUAGACAAAUUUUUGAUAACAAAUAGUUUUUUGAGAAUUUGUUCUCAAAGCAAAUAGUUUUUGACGAAUCGGAUUUAGGUGUUUUCAUUUGUUUUUGUAAAAUGUUACAAUAAUUGAAAAUAUAAAAAAUAUUUUGAAAAUUUUGCAUUGAGAAUAAGUCAAGAAGAAUAUUUUUCAUAUUUAAGUUGUUAAAUAUACUUUUAUUCUUACAAGUAAUUGACAAUCGAUCUGUUCUUGAUAGUUCAUAUUUCAAUUUUCAUUGUGAAUAAAUCAAGUUAAAUUGUAACUUAUAUAUUUAGCUCAAAAUAGAUAAAACAUUGAUAUAAAAAAAAUCAAAACAAUUAUUAUCAAAAUAUGGAAAAUUUGAAUUUUUUUAAAAAAAUAUUUACAUGUAAUGAUACCCCAUUUUAAAUUAUAACAUAAUUAGAAUAAUGUAUAUAGCAAAUUUGCUACAUAUAGUAAAACACUAAGCACAUUGACAAGAAUAUAUACAUUGUAAAUUAAUGAUUGAUUAUUUAUUUUAGUACUAAAUUAUAGUAAAAUGUACCCAUUUCUUCUUAAUAUUCAUGCAUUGAAAGAGAAGAAAUAUAAAUGAAAUCAAUAGAAUGCUUUCUUUAAAUCAUAGAAAGUUCUAAAUGAGAAAUUAGAUUAAUAUAGAAAAUACAAAUGUGAAAAAAAAGAGUAAGGAAAAUAUUUUAGAAUAUCAUAUUUAUUUUACCAAAAAAUAAAUUAGGAUGAAAAUGAUUUAAAACCAUUUGUAUUUUCAAAUUCUCAUCUCUUUAAUUACAUAAGAAAAAAAAAUUUAGAAAAACAUACAAAAGAAAUUAUCAAAUUUAAAUAAUUUGCAUAUUUCUUUUUUUUUUUUCCUUCAAAUCUUUUAAGAUUAAAUUGAAGAACUUUUGUGAAAAUACCAAAAAUAAAAUUUUAGAAUUAAUAUAUUAAAUUAUAUAUUACAAUUUAUAUCAAAAAUCAAAAAGAAAAAAAUAAGAUAUAUAGAAAAAAAAUUCAGGAUAUAUACUGAUCAUUGAACAUUUCAAACCCUAAUCCAACCUUUCUCUCUUCAUCACAACAGAGAUAGGAGGAAGAUACAGAAAAACCCAAAAAGGAAAAGGGGAAAAAUAAAAAUCCAUGGAAACCAGAUCUUCAAAGAGAAAGAGACUUCUGCAAGCCCAAUCUGAAUCCCAUACAGCCAUUGAUCGAAUUACUCAUCUCCCAGAUGCCGUUCUCCACCAAAUUCUUCUCCUCCUCCCCAUCAAAACCAUUGCCCAAACCAGCGUGUUGUCCAAACGGUGGAGGCUUCUCUGGUCAUCUUUUCCUGAUCUGGACUUCACCACCCUCAACCCACAUUGCAUGUCCUGCUAUUAUUUCGAUUCCUGCGGCGGCCGAAGCUCGGUUUCUCCCAACCCUAACACUCUGGACUGCAUCAGCCAGACUCUAGCGGCCCACCAGAGAGGCUCAGACAUAAGGGUUCUACGCUUCCGGGCACAUCUAGGGUUUUCGAGGUUGAAUGGUCUGAUCCGUAGUGCAAUAAGGCAUAACGUUCAAGACCUUGAUAUCGACGUUUGCACCGACGAUUACUUCAAUCUCCCCCGCUGCGUCGUGAUGAGCGAAUCCUUGAAGGCUUUAUCAUUGAAGUUUCGUCCUCCUGGUUUUAGGCUGCCACCUUCGAUGGUAAUGAGAGGUGGUUUUCAAUCUCUGCAGACUUUAUCUCUUUCCCAUAUGGUCUUCUACAAGAAGCAUUAUCUUCUUGACUUGUUCGCGGGUUCUGCAUUUCCAGUCCUCAGGAAACUGACUCUGGACAGUUGCCGUGGAAUAAAGUUUCUUGAUGUUGGCUGCCGAGUCCUCCAAGAUUUAACAGUAGAGAAUUGUUUUCAGCUCCAUGGAUUGACCGUAUCAGGUCCAAGAUUGGAGAGGUUGAGGGUGGUGAGUUGCUUUGAAUCUUCUAGUGAGAAGAGUUGGGUGAAGAUUAUAGCGCCCAGACUUAGGGUUAUGCACUGGGAACACAACGCCAUUACUGAGACAAGUUGUCUAGAGAAUUUAGCUUCAAUGGAAGAGGCCUUUAUCGGGUUCUUUGCGCUUGAUGAGGACACAAGAGCAGAGAAGUAUAAGAGCGUGUCAAAUAUUCUCUCUGGCCUCUCUCAUGCUCAUUGUUUAACCCUCCAAAGCCAAUGCAUUCAGGUAUUUUUAUCAUUCCAAGCAUUUAUACUUAGAAUAUUUUGAUGGAUUUGCUAUGUUUUUAUGAAGCAUAGAAUGAAGUUUGGAAUGAAGUUAAAGAGAAGGCCAUGCAUGGAGGAGAAAGGAAAAGUGGAGAUUAAUUACUUAAAUAUUGAUAGGGGUCAUCUUUUUAAAGAUAGUUCCUAAAUAUUAGAGCCAUGGAAAAUUCAAUGCCUACUCUUGAAGGUUUUCAAGUUCCCAAGUUAUUUUUACUUCCAUUUUCCACAAUUAAUUGCUUCCUAUUCUCCCCACCAAAUAAUAAGUUCCUGAUUGGCUACUAUUUUUUAAAAUAAUUUCCUUUCAUUGAGAGAGAGAAAAAAAAAAGGAAGGAAAAUUUUAUAUUUUUAAAAAUAAAAAUAUAAAAAAUAUAAUAUUUUUAGAGAACAUUUUUAGUUGUUUUCACUCGUUAUCUACGAGUUAUUUUGAAAAAAAAAAUUGUUAUAUAAAUAUGAAGAAUGAUUAAAAAUAAUUUUUUUUAUAUAAAGAUUAUUUUAAAAACAUAAUUAAAAAUAUAAAAAUAGGUUAAGAACAUAUAACGUUCCAAAUAAUAUGUUGUUCCAUAAAACAUUAAAGGGCAAUUUUUAAAAACUAUUCUUCGAAAACAUUUCCUAAAUAGAAUCUAAAUAUAUAAGGCACUCUAUUUGCAAAACCUUUAAGCUCCUUCUCUCUCUUUUCCUAUUCUUCGAAAACAUUUCCUAAACGGAAUCUAAAUAUCCAAGGCACUCUAUUUGCAAAACCUUUAAGCUCCCUCUCUCUCUUUUCCUUUUCUUUUCCUACCUUGAAAUGUAUAUAACCUUUGAGAGCAAUUUUGAAAAAGUUCAAAGUGUAGGUUGACCUUGGUUUGGAAAGUUAAGAAUUUGUUACACCAUUUUGAUGUCUUAAGAACUUUUUCAAGGUUGUGGAAGAAAUUUACAAUAUAAUAUUGUGAUAAAAAGGUUUUGCAUGAUUUGUUGAGUCAAAAUAUCUUUUUUCCAAGUUCUAUAAAAAGUGUUCUACAAUUUGGUAAUUUCAUUGACAAAAUUAUUGUCUAAUCUUAAGAGAUAUGCAUAUGCUAACAAUAUGCAAGUCUUUUUCCAUAGAUUUUACAAGUUGGUCCAUAUCUUAUGAAUUUAUUUUAUAAUCAUGAUUCUGCUUUCAAAAUCAUGCCCAAAGUCAAAUUCAACUAUAGAUCAUAGCAUUUUUCUUGUAGAGAGUUGAAACCACACACUAGGGAAUUUUAAUUUCUUGGGCAAUGUAUAUCAGUGGACUUUUUCUUCAACUCCUUAUCUCAAUAGUCUCAAGAGAGGACCAACCUCUCUUGGGGUUUCUUUAAAUAGUAUGAAACACACAAGAAUAUUUCUGUUGCUGCAUAUUCUAAAGGAUUAUCAUUAUUCUACCAUUGCUCUACGGCCUUAGGGUUCUAAGAACCUCAUCUGUUGUUGCAGAUUCUAUCAAACAAUCAUUAUUCCACCAUUUCUCUACAUCCCUUUCACAACCUGAAAACUAUGAAGUUGCAUACUGUACUUGACAAAAAUAACAUCAGAGGAUUACUGUGCCUAUUCAGGAGCUCACCAACACUCCACACUCUCAUUCUCAAGAUAAUUACUCAUUUCAAGGCUGAAAAGACAAAGGUUAAUUCUCAUAACACAUUGAUUUUUCCUUUAAUUCUUUGGCCUAUUUUGAUGUAUGUGCACUCUCGAUCACUGAGUUAUAUAGAAUGAACUUUUCGGGUCAUUGAUUUUGAGCAUUUGCCACUCCAGGCAUGGAAUAAAGCGCUGUGGGAUCACAUGUCCAGCUCUGAGCAGGAACAGUACUGGGAAUCUCGAUCACAAACUUUCAAGUCCUUCCUGCAACACCUCAAGGUAGUAAGGAUGGAAGGGUUGGUAGAAAGUGAGAAUGAGAUUGGUUUGAUCAAGUUUCUGCUCAAGCAUGGAAUGGCCUUGCAAGAGAUGAUUCUGUGCUCAGGACACUCCAAUUCCAGGGACCCGGUUCGGCGUCAUGAGAUUCGGUCACAGAUGAUGGGAUUCUCUUGGGCUUCUUCGAACGCUAAACUUGCAUUUCAUUGAGUUUUUUUCUACACAUUCCCGGAGUUUUGAGCUACUUUUUAGUACUGUAAAUUAUGCCCUUGAAUGCAGGUAAUAAGAUAUUUGAAAUCAGUGAGUGAAUAAAAUCCUUGACUCAUUCUCAGAUUAUUCCCAACUUGAACCGAAGUUUCUGCCAUUCCUAAAAGUCUCCCAAUCUCCUAUUUCUAGUCAAUUUUUUCCUGCCAAAAUGUCACUUUUAACUGUUUGUUGUGUUUCUUCAUGGAAGACAAACAGUAGAAAGUUUAUGAUCAAAUUCUUUCAGUGUAAUUGACUCUUCACUUUGAACAGCUAGGUACUGUUAGUUUGGUAAGAUUAGUUUCAAAAAGGGCUGCUUGAGUUUAUUUCUUUGCCUCCCAUUAUAAAAAGCGAUAAAGGUGUGUACUACAUACAUAGAAUCAUAUGGAUGGAACAGAGAAAAGCAGGCAUUUCAACAAAAGGAAACGACUGUUUUUGUACAUAUUAAACGAAUUAAGAAGCAAAUGACAAGAUGGGAUAACAAAAGAGAGAGAGAGAGAGAGGAAGGGAGGGGGAGUGGGGGAGAGAUUAACUCACACUCUAAGAUGAGCUUGAUUCAGCUUUAGGUGCACCAUUGCUUAUGCCCUGCAACCCAUUUCGGGCAUUUGGGGCUGAAGUAGUUUGAGACAACCCUUGAAUUCAGAAGCUCGAUAAUAGGGGCAUAUUUCACACAACGGGGGGUCUUGUACUGGUUUAUUGAUGCACCCUGGCUGAGGGCAUAGUCCAUGAGCUUGUCAAAUGUUCCACCCUCAACUAUCCUUAUUUCCAGAGGCCCAAUAGAUUUAUCCGAGGCUCGGCCUUGGCGGUACACACUGUUGAGUGAUUCUUCCAUGAUAAGACAGCAGUCCUCAAAAACCGAAGGUGGAAUAGGGGUUGCACCACUGAGGCCAAUCUCCCAGUACAGUACAUAGUGGCCAGGGAUGGUUGACGUGUCUGCAUAGCUUGUGUAUUCUGUGACAGAUGCAUCAAAUUGAAGAAGAUGGUCAGCAGCAUUCUUCACAGCAUUUUGCAGCUCAAAUUCAUCGGUUUUAUCAGAAUCAAUGCUAAGAGCCACAUUUUUUCUGCAGAUAAAUUUGAAUUGGGGCGCCUUGUUCUUGAAUCCAGCUACACAAAGUAUAUCUCCAACCCGAUAUCGAUAGAGACCUGCAAUAUUUUUUAAACAAAUAAAGCAUAUAUAAAUUCAUGCUCAUCACCAUCAAUAAUGUUAUAAUGCAUUGAAUCUUACCAGCAUAUGUGGUGACGACAAGCUCAUAUUCUUGUCCUAGUUUUACAUCAACAAGAUCAACCAAUUCCUGAUGUUCCUUCUCAUUGAGGGGAGCUGAUUCAGAAACGUUUGUAAAUCCAUUUUUCCUAUUCACCGGCAAGAACUCAAAAUAGGCCAUGGUGGGAAUGAGGGUGUAAGAAACUUCACUUGGCUUACAAAGAGGAUUAAGGUUCAGGCCGAAGUAACAUUCGGAAGAAGCAUACAUUGUACAAACAAGGGGGAGACCGUUGCUGUAGUAAUCGAGAGUAGGGAUGUAUUGAGACAUUGUUCCGGUGACUAUAACAUCUAUGUACUUAGUAUUAGGCCAUAACCUAGUUAUGAUCCCUUCCCAUGACUCCCUUCUACACUCAGCCUCAAUAAAGUCUGCGAGCUCAGGAUUCGGUUUCAAAAUCCUCUUGACAGCCUCUCUCACAGAUGGGUCAUUUAUUUGGGAGUCUAGAGUUCCAGCCCGAAUAUCCUUACAAAGAAGAACCCAGUGCUUUUCCAGGAAGCGGAUGGCCCGGAUGAAGCCGGAGGCAAACACUGCACCAACCCGAAGAACUUCCUUGUUUUGACACAGCCCACAAAGCAAUUGAGAAUACAUGCUCUGGUAGGAAUCCGGACACAGAAUGGUCUCGUUGGGACUGGUAUAGUUGGUGUAAGGAUCAUAAGGCCUGUCCCUGAAAUAUGAACUCUUGUAGUAGCUUGUGAGCACUGGGCGAGCCAUUAGUCCUCCAGGAGUCUUAGCUUCCGAUUUUACAAACAAAAAAUACAUCCCUUUCCCUUCGUCCAACCCGGGAACAGACUGGUUCAUCACAGGCAUCAGCAGGCUAUACAGCAAAGACCUCCUCCCGAGCUCCUCUUCAAUGGUGGGCAUCAGUUUUCUCUCUCCGCCAGAAGUUCCAGAACUGCACCCACACAUCAAAACAACUCACAAUUCCAAAACACAGAACUCAAAACGGAUCAAAUUUCAAUUCUGAAAGAAGUAAGCCACACACACUCACCUCGUCAGAAACUCGGAAAUAGGCUUUGAGCAGAGAAUUGGCGACAUAUCGCCGUUGGCGAUACGUUCAAUAUCCGGUAACAUAUCCUCAUAUGUGACAACAGGCACGAUUUUCUUAAAUGUAUCGGCGUCCACACGCCCGUUAAGGCCAUGGCGCUGCAAGUACUCAACAUUAGAGUUCCUGGUAAUGAUUUCAGAGAGGACCUGCAUUUGAACUUCUUUGGCAUUCAUGGUAACAUCUUCGAUGAAUUCAAGAGCCCUGAUGUUCUUAUCAUCAAGGAUGCCGCCCUCCACACCCAACCCGGCACCAUUGCCACGGUUCUUCGGAGCUUCAGGCAUGGUUUUCAGUAUAAUAUAUGAAGAAAGAACACAGGGUUAUACUGGGUUUUGUAGCAAAGACUAUCCAAACUGAUGCAUAUAUAAAGGAGAAGUCAGCUCAAUCAAACAGUGAUGCGUGAAGGGUAAAAUCACAAAUUCGGUGGGUGAAGUGGUUGAAUUUUGACUUUUCGGCGUCCACUUGCUGAUGUAUACUCUCACGAAUAUAUGGCGGGUAUGUCUCAAAAAAUCGUGAAGAUAUCAAGGGUGUUCAUCAAAAUACCAACAGCCACCUGCCUGCGUAAUUCGGUUGAAAGGUUUUGCUUGUGUUUCACUAUACAUUCCCCCACAGCCGACCAAUUUCUCACGAUACCUUACUAUUUUUUCUAAAUAAUUCCAAGUCUUAUAUUAUAUAGUGCUUUGAAAUUUUUUAUGAUGGGGUGUGAAAGCAGAAAUAUUAACAAAAUAUAACUUUAAUUUUUUCAAAGUCAACAAAUCUAAAACGUACGAAAAGUAUAACUUUAUUAUAUCUAAACAAAAUUUGUCAAUUUUAGAUUUAAUAUUUUAUUUAUUUAUUUAUGGAAAUAAUAGAGUAUUCUUCUUUUACGCAAUCUAAGUCAAACAUAUCAUUCAAUUCCAAGAAAUGUUCUCAUUAACCCUUAUUAAGGAUAAAAUGAUCCUAUUUAGGGAAAAAAAAUUCAAAAAAUGAAAUCAUUUUUUUCUUUGGCUUGUAUCAUUUUUGUUAAUGUUAAAGCUGAGAUUGAUUGGUUGUAGUGGUACUAUCAAGGUUAUUGGUCUCAUUUUCUUUGGGAUAUCUCGUAGGGAUAUAUAAAGUAAAGAAUGAAAAUAUCAUCCCAACAUCAUGAUGCAUCCCACAUCCAUCUCCAUGAUGGGUCACAAUCAUAUGUCCAAAAGACAAGUCAAUAAGGGUAAUGCUGCUAUAGUACCAAUACUUUUGAGUAUGAUGUCAAAAAAUUUAGCUCAACCACAUUUUAUCAUAUAUUUAAAUACGUCUCGUAUAGUGUCAUUUUACUUAGAUCUCAUUUAUUUAUACUUUGAUUACAUAAUUCAUAAGGAUUACUAUUUAAUAUGUUACCAAGUUGAUAUCAUUUUCAUUUUAUCUUUUAUGUUAUUAUUUAAAUAAAAUCACUUAAAAAAAAUCCUUUAAAAUUACUUGAGCUUGGAUCAUAUGGGUUAAAACCCUAAUAUCCGAUCUUAUAUAAACAUGAAAAAAAUUAAAUAAAUAAAUCAAUAAUAAGGUUUAAACGAUGAAUUUUAGAAAAGAAAAACUUUGAUGUCAUGUUAAAAUAAACCUAAUAUGAAAAACUAAACCACUAGCAAAACCAAUAUAUGCUCAAAGGGGGCAAUUGUCCUCCCCGAAAAGGUAUCAAUAUUUAAAAGAAGAAAAAAGGCUUAACGAUUAAGUCAAAUUUACAUCUUUAUAUCAUGUUGUCCCUUCUAUAAUGAAUUUUGAAUUUUUCCCAUUUUCUCCCUUGUUCUACAUUUAUGGCUCCGCCAAUGAGCUAAACUAUGAGGUCUAAAAACUACUAUAUAUAUACAUUCAUAAACUCUCCCUGUAUCUCUUGAUAUUUAAGGUCUCAAUUAUGAGCAGAGGUGCCCACCUCUUAAUGGCAAAUGUUAUCUAUGUCAAAGGAGACACACAACACACAGAGCGCAUGUUAAUAUUCUAGUGUUGUGAAGAGGAUACGGGGGGGCCAGAAUUUUAUCAGUGUUUGAUAAAUUUAGGUGAAGUAGGAAGCUAUCAAUGUCCAAAAGAUUGAUUCAUGCCUAACUAAAAUUUUCUAGCGCUGUUAAGACUUUUCAUAUCCAAACAAAAUCAGUAUCAGGUCCUCUUGAAUUGACAAAAUUUGAUUGAAAAAUAAGCAGCCAGACCCACAAAUGACUUUUAAGAAGUUACAUAUCAACACACUUUCCUCUAAUUAAGACGUUGAAGAUCAGUCAACAAGCAGUGUAGUGCGUCACUCAUGGCUGACAAAAAUGGCUGAUUCUCAGUUUGUUACAGUUCAGAGAAUGAAAAAGAAAGAGAGAAAAUAUGUGCCCUUAUUGUGAAGGAAGAUGGCAGUACCUGCAAAGACAAAUAAUUGACAUCCAUGAAAUCUAUAUCUAAGAAAUCAAUAUGCACGAGGGGGGAAGUUUGUUGAGCACAGGAGUUAAUGACAGUGACCUCAUGCUUGCUGCAAAACUCCAGUGAUGUAUCAGCCAUUAAGACAUGGUCCUACAGCGAAAUUGGCGCCGGCUGUCUCAUCUCCACUUGUCCAGUCACUUUCAGUUUCGGUUUAGCCACGUGUCCCACACCUCUUCAUUGUCUCCCCUCUUCCCUAGCCUUGCUUAUGUUCCUCAAGGGUCAACAUAAUAAAGAAAGGUUAGUUUCUGAUAAGCAUGAGGAAAAGAAAGACAAAACGUAAAAGGAGGUUACUUAGGCAGAGGAAAUGCAAGGGAUACCUUGUGCUUGGUGAGAACGGGAUGUAGUGUUUGGAGGUUUAAGGAAUGUUCAUGUGGGAUUGUGUUUUGAUGGUUUAUAUGGGAGGCAUUGAGAGGUGCGUAUACCAUUUACACUUGACCGUCGCACAGGGAUUUUUCGCCUCUCAAGACAGCUAUUUGUCGUAUUUUACACAUCAAGGUCUCAUGUUUAUGCCAUUAACUAGAGGUUUACUAACUUGGGAUGAGGAGUUCUUCUAAAAGGAGUCGGUAUCCUUCCUUGUGUAACGGGUCUUAAAACUAAUAGAAAUAAACAUGUUACAAAGACUAGGGAAGGAGUGAUAGAUUCCAACUUCAUCACAAAGACUCAGCUGCAUAACAUGUUACAAAAUAUAACCAAAUAGAAUUGACCAAUAUUUGUACACUUUAUAGGCUAAAAGAUAUUUGAUUCAUGCCCAUUGGUUCUCAGAGGCUUGAAUCCCUACAACUUUUAGUUUUCAGUCUGAGAUCAUAUGCUUGAUGCCUAACCAAGAUGUAAAUGAUAAAUACUUUCAUGCGUUAUCGGUCUCUAGCAUAUCUUAUAUAUCAGCAGUAUAAAAAUCCACUAGUGGCGCCUUCCAACUAGAGAUAUGUAGGCUACUAUAGAUGCACAAUUAUAAUUAUUGCUCUACUAUUAUCACAAGAACUACUAAGGACCUGCCAUUAUUUCUGCCUCAAAUGGUGCGGAAUUAUCAAUGUCAACUACACAGCUUGUCGGCCAAGCAAUUGUCCAACCAAUAUUCUUUUUAAUACCAAUUCCUCAUGUAAUAUAGAAAUCAUUUUGUUGGUUUUUCCGAUGUUGCGGCCCACUGCAAUAGAAGCCAUCAGUUGAACAAGCAUUAACAUAAAAACAAAUUCAACAAAUGACUUUUAUGGUCCCUAAUUUCCAGUCAAUAGCUUGGAGAAUGUGCAGUUUAAAAGUACUAACAAGCACAAAUUUCUUGUAAAGGUUGCAUGAUCACCUGGGCAGGGCACAAGAGCUGACACUCGAUUAUGGUAAUGACCAAUCAAAUUGCAUUAAUCAGAUCAAAGAUACAAUUAAUUUCAACUAGUUCUUUACAAAUCAGUGACAACUUUCAACUACUUCAUCACAUGCUACAUAUGCCUUUGAGUUCUUCCUACCCUAUCAAAGUACUAAAUAUUCUCUUACCUUUGAAAGGUUAGUGGGCUGGUUUUCCUUUCUCGUCUUUUGAGGACAGCAAACGAUAUUUAUAUCUCUGCUUGUUAAAAGCAUUUCCAAACAGCCCCGGUUUCCUGUGUUACUGAAGGAAUCUCCUGCUUUCUAGGUAGAGCAACUGAUCAUACAAAUUAAUUAGAACAUUCUUAUGGGAGUUGUGGAACGUGUUAAACACAAAGAUUAGAUAUACAAUGCUAAAGAAUUGUUUCUUUUCCAUUGAUAUUUUAAUAAUAAGGUUAAUUACAAUUUUUAAGUUCUAACAGAAUAACAAUUCAGAUGCUCCUGAAACCCUUCUCUUGCAUGUGUUUGUUUGUGUAUCUCACACAUGUAUAAUCAGAUUUAAGGGCACACAUGGACCUAUUAAUGUACAUGACUGCUCAACUACUUGUACGUUAAUCGUACCAUUUUCCUAGCAUAUCAAUGCAUGAUAAUAACAAGCAACUACCAAUGGUUAUGUACAUCCGUCUUUAUCAACUAUAGAUAGUGAUAUUGAAAUUACGAAGUGAAAUCAAGUCUGUUUUAAGCCUCCAUGAACCCCACUAAUAAAAAGAUGAAACAAUCCAAUCUUUGUAGCAUCUGGUCACUAGACAACUGGAGAUUCUGCUUUGUAGUAUUUCGUUUGCGUUUGAUCUAAGAUCACGCAUGCCAUGUUGAGGGAAGUAGCUGUCUGUAGCUUUAAUUUCUCUCUUAUCAAGAUAAUGAAUGGUAGAUGACUUUUGUGAUCUGAAUGUGAUCCUUCAGUUCAUUUCUCCUUAUCACUUUCAUGGACAAUGAUUUUACCCUGGUUUGGAAAUGGAGACUCGCUUUCUGUGUUGCAACGCCUUCUUGACUAGUUAUCAUAGGUGUUGGCACAUGUCCAUAUCCACUACUUACUGUUACUAUACUCUUCUCUGUCAACUGCUACAGAACUAGGGACCUAGGGCCAUUCGUCAUAUGCCACUGCAAUCAAUUCUCCUUUAAAGAAGAAUCUAAAAUUAUUUAAGUGCCACUGUCUUUGGACAAUCUGUACUUUAGCCAAAAUCUGUGAAAUAUUUGAAAAGCAAAGUGCAUCUAUAUAUCUAAGGAUUUGAGAUAGUGAUUAGUGGUCUGUAAUCAUAAUGAAAAUUUGAGAUUUCAGUGGAUAGCUUUAUUUGCCUAUUUCUGAAUGCCUAUGAAUUCAUGUACAUGUGUAGUACAUUUCUUAUUGCUAUAUUGUUCUAGAAGGAAAGGUAAGAAAAGGCAAGGGAAAGUGGUCAUAAUUCAACUUAUGGCUUAAUACAUAUUUUAAAAAGUCUAAAGUUUUGACAUGAUAAAGUUUUGCAAGGCUUUUGUAUCUAGUACCAACGAACAACUAAAGCAAUACUCUAUAAAGCAAGAGACUAAAUUGUCUAACUUCUCAAGCCACCAUUGCCAAAAGUUAGAUAGGUUUACAUUUAUGGUUGUCUCAUGCUUUGUAUGGUAUUUGAAUAAGAGUCCAUUUGAUAGUGAUCUUAUGAAACGCUUUUAAUAUUUUUAAUACUUAAAAAAAUUUAUCAUUCAAGUGUUAGAAUUAUUAAAAAUAUUUUUAAGAAUCACUCCUAAAUACAUUCUAAUAGCGCGUUUGACAAUGAUUCUGGAAAAUAUUUAUAACCUUUUUAAUAUUUAAAAAUUUUUAUUUUCAAAUAUUAAAAAUGUUAAAAACAUUUUUUAAAAUCACUAUCAAACAUACUAAGUCUAUAGGGUGUACUUGUUCCUUUUUAGAAUUUGUUUCUAACAAAGAACCAUAUUCAAAUUUCAUGUUCUUAUCAUAUCAAAUGUCUUUUUUCAAUGUAGUUCUCAUUGAUAGUAAACUAGGAAGAGGUUAGUUAUAACUUAAAAGUGAAAAUCAAAUGGCAAAGUCUAAAAAAGGAAGGGAAUCUAUAAAGAGAUAUGCAUAAGACUAGGAAUACAUGAAAGGCAACUUAAGUAAAUGAAAAAAAAAAAUAGUAAAAAUAGAUGGACAUGAGUUAUCAAAACUUGGCCAUUUUUGUUAAUUUAAUCAUUCAUAAAGAAAGAGGAGAUAUAAAAGGAAGUUAGCUAAAUAAUUAGAACACAACACUACAUCAACUCCAAUAGUGGCCCAGAAGAUAUUCAAAAGGAAGCUGAAAAUCCAUCUGGUCACUAGACAACUGCUGAAAUAGCCACUAAUGCGAUGUGCAACCUAUCUCUUGCAUUUUAUGUGAGUUCAUCCUACGUUUUCCACUUACUAAUCUCCACAUUGUUGUGGAUACCUAGAAAGAAUAGCAACUAGGAAGUUGAGAAAGAAUCAAUGGGUAGGGAAAGAGAAUUUGGAUUUUUGUUGGAAAAGCACAUCAUUAGGAUUCAAUCUCCCAUUCUGAUCAAAAGCAAAAUAAAAACAGAUUUUUAGGGCCAGUCUAAGUGGGACUCCACCUAGAAAAUAGCUUACGGCACAAUUAUCACAACCCCAAUACUGGAAGGGACUGUGGUAACACUUAAAUUCAGAACCAAAGAUUGAUUAUUGAUGUCAUGAUAUUGGAAAGCAGGACAAGAUGGAUCGAUAAAGGUAUGAAAAAAAUUUGCACAAGUCAGGAUCUUUAGGCACCUUAAGGGGUGGGGGGUGUUGGGAGGGGGGAAUGCUUCUUGUUACUUGGACCAUGAAGUUUGUGGAUUUCUUUCUGCCCAUCCUUUCAUGUAGCCUGCCUGGUCUAUUUGUGGAGCCAUGGUGGCCAACACUAGCUUGACCAUCAAGUAUGCACCAAUAUCUUUUAGAAAAUGAUUGCAGUCAUAUGGGGGGAACAAUGUCUGAACUCACUUUCUUAAUGGAUACUCAGUGCUUUUUCUUUGGUUCUUCACAUUGAAAAGGAGAAAGAGGGGGGAAAAGUAUUGAGCAAAGUGGGAAACGCAUUUACGUAAAAGUUGAUAGAAAUGAUAGAAAUAACAGCUAAACACGGUUAUUAAACUCUAUGGUUAUGGAUGACCCAGCUUCCAAUUUAUACAGUAAAACCCUAUGUGUGUCAAAAUCUGUAUGGGACAACCACUGCCUUGUCUAGCUAGUGCUAGGAAUAUGGAGAUAUGGGUAUGCUCACCUCCAGAAACAAAUGGAGAGAUGGGCAUAUUGAUUUACUUAUGUUAUUGUUUUGCUUUCCGGGCUAGUGAUUUUCUUUUGUCUUGUACUUUCAAGAGAGGAAGAGAGUCACCCGGAAAAUGCAUCUAAAAAGGGAGGUGCUCUGUGGUGUCUUACUGUGAUUGAUCCUCUUGAAAAUUCUAGGGGGUAGGCAUCAUUUUGUUCUUUGUGUAGUAUCGCUUUGUCCCCCAUUCAGAUCUCACGAAAGGGAUGGGCGUGGAGUCACGGACACAGAGUCAAGUGUGACAACCAAACCCCUACCUUCUAAAACAAUCAUAGUUUUCAAAACCACAACACGCCCCUGCCCUUCUAUAGUGACUGAUUGAUUUUCCUUAAGAUAUUGUAACAAAGAUAACUUUCAUCUAAAAGAAAUGAAAAGAUAGAAAGGAAUAGAAACAGUACUACUGCUACUAGUAUAUGAAAUAAUAUGAUUACAUUAUCAGUAUUAGAACAAUCUUCGAAAUGGGAAGCAUGCAUGCAAAAGUUUCUAGUAGUGGCAGGCAAGGCUAGAAAAUAAUCAACAAAGUGAGCAAAGCAAACUGUUCCGCACCAUUUCUGUUUGGGUAGAGACUGUGGGUUGGGAAGGGUAGGCAUGGACUUGUCCCUCCCCCAUUGGACUAUGAUGUGACUAAAUGAGAAUUAUCCCCCAAUUCUUGAAGAGAUCCAAUCAAAGUUUACAUAGAUGACCAGCUUCACAGUUUUAAGCAUAGUUUUCAACUCCUAAAUGAUCAAGUUCCAUUUUUCUGUACAGUUUUAACUUUCAAGAAUGAUUACAGAAACAAUAGGUCCAGGACUCACCUAAUCAGAUCCUUGGGCUUCCCUGGUAGGUAGGCCCAGGCCUUGCCUAUCCAAGUUUAUCUCAACUUGUUUAGUUCAACAGGAAUUUGAACCCUUAAACAAUGGUUCUGUUUUCAAUUUAAGGAACAAGUAUUUAUUUAAUGGCACAGCCUUAAAUAGAGCAAAAUGAUAAAUGGCAAAAGAGUUACCCAUUUUUUUUUAUGAGAAACAUCAAUGUAAUAUAUUAAAAAAGGAUUAUAAAAAUACAAAAGAAGGAUGAGAAAUCCUCCCAAAAACAAAGAACUAAACAAAUGGAACCUCCAAAAUACUAAGUAAUAUAUUAAAAUAGUGAUUAUAGAAAUGGUAUCAGUCCACUUCCCCCAACCCCCCACCUCCUAAAAAGGCCGGAAGCUUGUGUAGUCAAAGACUCCAAGGACUACCAUGGCCAAUUGUUAAGAUUAAAACAUGGUACAGAAGUUUACAUAGGAUUUCUCGCAUACCCUGAUCCUGACAAAGUUCUAACAUUUUCCUUCCCAAUCGGGGAGUUCUUGGGCUUCCUGUUAUUGUUGUUUUGGGGGGAAAAAAACUAGAGAUUAACCUGGAUAAGCCUAGGGACUGGCCAACCUGAUAACUUCUUGAAAACUAUUUAAAAAUCACUGAGGCAAAUAAGGAACUUGCAGGGUGCAUAUUCCACUAAAUAAUGACCAAUAUUGGAUCACUCGUAAGUAACUUUAUUGGCCUUCCUCUAGGCAUUUCAAACUGUGUCCUUAAAUGGGUUAUACAUUGCUGUCCCAAAGUCCUGAACAAUGGGCCAUAUGGCAUAGUUAAUGGAUAGCACUUCUAUGACAAGUUCAAUAAUAGUUUGAGGAUCUCCUUCAAGUUAGACAUCCUGAAAACCCAUAUCCUGGGCCUGAUCCAGCCCAUCUCUUUGGCUGUUUUACUCUUAACGAUCUCAUAGAAUACUUCCUUCGAUGUUUGACUGUCGAUUCCAGCAAAGUUUAUGCGAACAGGACAUGCUAAAUGGCUUGUUAUGUGACCUCAAGUCGAGUUAAUAAACGUUGAUAAAUCACUAUGCAAGUUUAAGCAUGCAGCAAUCACUGAAACUGAUCUUUGCCAUAUUACAUUGAAUUUGUUACAACACUCUAGACAUAUCAUCCAAAAUAGAAUAGCAAUAAAUCCCCAGGCAUGCCAAGAACCACAUUUUGGACUAUAUAUCAUGAUGAAUGGACUGCUCUUCAUGACAAAUCAAUUAAUGUGAGGAUCUUCUUCAAUAUAAACUUCCUGUAAUAUCGUGGGCCUCAUUCAGCCCAUCUUUUUGACACCAAAUGUCUGCUUCACUAAUAGAAGUUUCUUGUCACUUGUAGUUAGUUCUAAGUCUAAGUCAACUGAACAUGCUAAAUGACUUGUUAAGCAACCACCAAUUGGGUAGUUAAACUUAGAUGAAGCACCGCACAAGCUCAACCAAGACAAGCACCAAACUCCAUCUUUACCACUUGAAUCAGAACCUACGCUCCAGGCAUGCUGACAACCACAUUUUAGGCUAUAUAGAAUAAUGCAUGAACUGCUCUCCUAGGAUAAGAGCAAUAAUUUGAGGAUCACCUUCAAUAUAAAUAUCCCGAAACCCCAUAUCUUCUUUUUUGACUACAACUUUAUGUUUUACUAAAGAGUUUCCCAUAGUUCUACAGGAGAUCACUUCUCCUUCGUGAUCUGAUAAGACACAUCUCUGUUUUUACUAUCCAAUUCAGCAUUUAUGUGAACUGGACAUGUUAAAUGACUCAUUCGGCAGCCUCCAAUUGGGUGGUUAACUUGAGAUGAAGCAUCACGCAAGUUCAACAAAGACAGGCGCUAAAAUCCAAUUUUUGCCGUAUUACAUUAAAUCAGAGAUCACAUUGUAAGCAUCUUAUCCUAACUAGGAUAGCAAACAAUUCCCUGGGCUGGCCAGCAACCACAUUUUUCUUCAAAGAAUCUUACAUCACAUCUUCUCCAAAGUGCAAUGGGGUUCCCCAAUGGACUAAUUGAAUUUCCCCCUCCUUCUCCGGUUAUUUUUCCAACCAAACAACCAACCAGAUACGAUACUCAUCGAUUUAUGAUAAGUUGAUUCAUCCAUUUCGAAAUUCUACUCCGGUUGUCUAAAAUAUUCACCUCUCCACCAACUACAUACCCAAUUGUUUCUUACAACUUUCCAGAAAGACCUUCCCACAGUAAUUAUACAACAAAUUUCUGUGUUCAAUCAUCAAACUUUUAAUCUUCACAACUAAAAUAUAGACAAUUGAGCAAACCCACAACUCUAAUCACAUAAUCCAAUAGAAAAAGAAAAACCAUAGAUAAACUCCCAAAAAUUGCCCAUAAAACAGAGAGUAAUUUACGUUAUAUGUAACCAGGGAAAAGGAAAGGUUUACGCAAUCAAAUACAACAUACCCAGAUCCCAAAAUUCCUUCUCCACCUCAGAAACAAUUAUCAAAAAUGCAAUUCGGUGAAUGUAAAUUUCUUUAUUCAAAUUUUUUCAAAAGAAAAGGGAAGAACCUGAGAUAUCUGAGGGAGGUGGCACUGUGUUCGAGAAAUGACGGUGGAGGAGGAACGAGAGAUUCUGUCAUAAUCCGAGAAUCGUGGGAGACGGAAUCUUGGAAGGGCUCGGGGAACUUGGGUGAGGCCACGUCGUCAUCAUCCAUGGCUUCCGUGGAGGACGCAGGCGACGACGAAAACGACGCCGUUUCACGAUUAGAAUCUUCAUAGAAAAUUGUGGAAUCAACUUUUUUCUGGUAAAAGUAUAAGGCUAUGUUUGGUUCCCGGAAAAUUUGAGGGAAAAUGCGAUGGAAAGAAAAUACAAAGGAAAAGUAGAAGGAAAGAAAAAAUGAAAGAAAAUAAAAAAAUGAAUUAAAAGUUGAUAAAUUAUUUUUUUUGUUACUUCAAACUCAUUUUAUUUAUUUUAACUCAUCAAUAUAAAGAUUAAAUAAUUUAAAAAUACAUAAGUUUUUAAUUAGUUUUAAUUAUAUUUGAUUUUCUUUGAUAUUUUUUAUAGGACAACCAAAUAUGAUAAAAUCAUUUUCCUUAACAUUUUUUUUCUUUCCUUUGUACUUUCCGGGAACAAAACAUAGCCUAACUGUCCUUCGUUGUAUUUUACUGUAAGUUUCAAAACAAGUACUUAAAGUAAUGACUAAUAAAAAAAUAAAAAAAUUUAAACAAACUUCUUUUAUUUUGAUAUUGAAGUCAAUUUUUAAUUAAAUAAUCUAUUUUUUUUCUUUUUAUAUACUUUUAUUUUGUUAUUUUAAAAAAAUUUAAAUAAAUAUUAUUGGUAGAUGAAACGUUACUCGCGUUUAUCAAUAUUCAUUAUAUUCAAAUACCAUAAGUGUUUGGAUGAAUAUAUUAUAUCCUAAUGAUAAUUAUGCUUAAUUUGCAUAAUUUUGAGCGAAAUUCAAAAUUGAACAUUUUAUAUUUUUUAAAAUUUAUUUUUAUUAAGUAUAGGAUGGGAUAAGAGGAAUACCUGAAAAACCGAUCCUCAUGGAAGCGUAUUUGUAAGUGAGUGGAAAAUCUAAUUACUAGUUGAAAAUUUGGAGAAGAUGUUGUGGUGUGAAGGGUAAUGCCAAAAUGGCAAUAGUGUGGAUGAUCGAAGGAACUAUAGUUGACAUCGACACAAACUUCAAUUUUUAGGCAGAGAGAAAGUGUUUGACAUGACCACAAGCCACCAUUGAAGGUUGAAAAGAUCAAUUCAUUUCAUACGAUGAAGACAUUAUAUUAUGUUUGAGACUUGUAUAAAAUAAAAAUUAUUUAAAUAUUUGGAUUAUUGGCUUUGUAUUAUGAAUAUAGAACAAUACGAUCCCCAUCACUUUUUGGUCUUUUGGCCCCUCCUUUAGAAGCUUUCCAACUUCCUACUCCUAGGCAUGCUCCUAAGUGAUGGUAGCUCCAAAAAGAGUUGAAGUAGCAAUAACCUUCCUUAUUUUUAAUUUCUUUUUUUUUACUUUGAAUUAUUUAUAAAGUUGUUUUUUUAAUUUUAAAAUACAAAAUUAUAAAUUAAAACUCUACUUAUCUUUAAAAUUAAUUUCUUUUACGAUAAGAUGAUAUGAAAUACAAAACACUUUUUUAGUUUGAGAUUUAUGUGUUGUGAAUCUUUUAUAGUAUCUUUAAAUGAAGUCAAAGUACUAAUUUGUUAUUAAAAUUUUUUAGAAUUAAUUGGUUAAAAUGGAUAAAAUAAUUCACAUAUUUACAAAUUUAAUUCUUCCCGUAUUUUUGUGUGAAAAGUAACAUACCUUUUUUUUACAUAAAUGUUCUUAUUAUUUCCCGUAUUUACAUUUAUAUAUUAAAAGAAAGAGUUAUUUUUACAAGAAAAAAAUAAAGGUAUUUUUGUUAAAUAAGACCAAAAAAUGAUGAAGAGUUAUAUUUCCAAAAUCGGUUUUGAUUGACCCUUUUAGUCAAAUAACCCAAAUUUUUAUUCAUAUUAUUAUAAUGAAUAAACUUUUGAUAUGAUUUUAUCAUUAUAAUAAAUAAAUUUUUCAUAAGAAGAUUUUAAAAUAGAAUAGUCAAUUAUACUAAUACUUACAAAUCAAAUAAUUAAUUAAGGUCCUAUUUUGUUGGAUUUCUAAGAAUUUAAAAUCUCUUUUUUAGAUUGAAUAAGAGUUUUUUUAUGCAUGUUAAGCUAAUUUCAUUAAAAGAAAACUUAUAACUUAAAAAAUAGUUUAAUAUAAAAAUUAUGAUAGUAUUAUGUUUUCUAGAAACUCAAUUUGUACUAAUACAGGAAGUUCUUUUAUGUUUAAUAACACUUUCACGAUGCUAAUAAUGUAUGUUAAAUACAUGGUUCGACUUCAAAUUCAACUUUCUAUUAAUGUAAAAAAUAAAAAACUAUCCGGACCUAAUUGUACAAUAGAAAAAUUCCAAGAAGAGAAAAAAGGGGUAUGAACUUCAAGUCUUAAAACGAUCCAAUACUUUCCUAUUUUUAAUAUUUAUUUUUUUUAAUGUAAGACUCGAAACAUCUCAUGUUUCCGAUCCAUUGUCUGUCCACCAUGUGGCCCUUGUAUAUGAACAACCCCAUUAGUCUCCCUCCACUCAUGCAAUCUUGGCCCUAAUCAGACUAUAUAAAUCUCCCCAUUUAAAAUCAGAUCUUACUUUGGAAGCAUCUCUCCAUGUCUCUCUUUCUAUGAUUUGGCUAAAGAACGAUAUUUCUAAUAUAUUAAAGCAGUGUUUAUUUACCCUUCAUUUCAAACCACAUGUCUCCCAUCUCUAAUUUUUAUAUAUAUUUUCACACACCUGCCUUAAUCAAGUGCACAAGCACUGUCACCAAUUGUCUAUUGCCUGUCCCCUUUCUUAAAUUUUCUUGGAUUUAUUUUAUUUUCAUGGUGUCCAAACAAGGGUGUCAAUACCAUUUCCAUUUUGCCUUAUUAACUUCUUGGAAUACCAUCAUCUCAUUGCCCUUGAUUGACUUCUAUCUUUGUUUAAUCUCCUAUGAUCCACUAAUCUUCCAUCUCUUAUUUGGUCAUUAUAUUCAAUAUUCAAUCAUAUCCAUUUGUCUGGAUUCUCUAGUCUUUUUUUUGUAGUUUUGAUUCUUCUCAUGAGACUUGCCUCUUCCCUUCCCUAAAGUUUCUCACAUUUACUUUAUUUUCUCUGCGUCCAAACAAGGGAGGCAACCCAUUCCAACUUUCCCAAACCAAACCAUUUCAUCAAUGCCAUUCCUUUGCUUCAAUCUUUUUCUAAUUCUAAUUAUUGCUGCUAACCUUUCUUAGGGUUUCAUCAUCAACCCAAAAUUUUUACUGAUCUCUUUUUCUUUUUUUAAAAUACAAUGAUAUAUUUCGUAAUUUUUAAUUAUCAAAAAUAUAUAUAUAUAUAUAUAUAUAUAUAUAUAUAUAUAUAUAUAUAUAUAUAUAUAUAUAUAACAGAAGAAAAAAAUGUAUUUAUUGAUGAUAGAAUGUGCAUAAUAACAAAGAGCCAUGUGAUCUACAAAUGGGCAUGGUAGCCAAAUU